Molecule: transfer RNA, 73 nt
Filed under: bacterium
Lineage: Bacteria
Description: tRNA-Lys
Rfam family: tRNA
About the family: Transfer RNA (tRNA) molecules are approximately 80 nucleotides in length. Their secondary structure includes four short double-helical elements and three loops (D, anti-codon, and T loops).
Source: RNAcentral
GCACCCAUAGCUCAGUUGGUAGAGCGGCUCGCUCUUAACGAGAAGGUCCCUGGUUCGAUCCCAGGUGGGUGCA